CCUACGGGUGGCAGCAGUCGAGAAUCAUUCACAAUGGGGGAAACCCUGAUGGUGCGACGCCGCGUGGGGGAAUGGAGGUCUUCGGAUUGUAAACCCCUGUCAUGUGGGAGCAAAUUAAAAAGAUAGUACCACAAGAGGAAGAGACGGCUAACUCUGUGCCAGCAGCCGCGGUAAUACAGAGGUCUCAAGCGUUGUUCGGAAUCACUGGGCGUAAAGCGUGCGUAGGCUGUUUCGUAAGUCGUGUGUGAAAGGCGCGGGCUCAACCCGCGGACGGCACAUGAUACUGCGAGACUAGAGUAAGGGAGGGGGAACCGGAAUUCUCGGUGUAGCAGUGAAAUGCGUAGAUAUCGAGAGGAACACUCGUGGCGAAGGCGGGUUCCUGGACAUUAACUGACGCUGAGGCACGAAGGCCAGGGGAGCGAAAGGGAUUAGAUACCCGAGUAGUC
This 446-nucleotide ribosomal RNA is filed under the name uncultured bacterium. Its description in RNAcentral is "partial 16S ribosomal RNA". It matches the Rfam family "Bacterial small subunit ribosomal RNA", at positions 338 to 795 of the family's 1533-position model. The record is from RNAcentral.